GUUAGAUUCAGUAUUGAGUUAAGGGUGUGGUACCUUGCUACUCAGAGUGUGGUCCACUGAUCAGCAACAUAAACAUCAUUCAGAAAUGAAGAAACUUGCUACCCACUCUGAACCUACUAAAUCUGAAUGUGCAUUGUAACCAGAACCUUAGCAAUUUGCAUGCACAUAAAAGUUUGAGAAACAUUGGAUCCAAGUUACAGUGCUUUCUUGGGAUGUGUACUGGGCAAGAUUUUAAUCCAUUAGACAAGGAGUGACUCUUUGACGAGAAUAUAAAACUUAAAGCAUUGAAGAAUGGGGCUUAACAGAUUGAUUCCUUUGAGGGAAAUGGACUAUUGGAUAAAACUCUGAUUUCCUGUGAGAAAAGCAUGUAUGGAUAAGUUUACCCGAUAUUUUAUGUUGGUUUAGGUUGGGGUAAUAUGCUUGGUAGAAAUUUCUUCCUUCCAUCUUUUCCUCCAGGAUUUGUCACAUUGGGCUAUGCACCUCAUUCUUUUAACUGAGUCACACCGUGCAAUAAUUAACAGUAAUGGCAGGGUAAAUGAGGUGAUCUGACAUUUUAAAGUAUAAAGUAAGUACAUUUGCUUAAAACCCACAUGUUAUUUAACUCUGUUGGAAAUAGAUUUGGGGAACUUGAGACUUGGUUAUACAGACAUUUUGGUUUAAUAUUAAAAUAUUUCCUACUACUUUAGGCCACAUCAGUAUUCCUUCAUGAGUAAAUAAUUAAAUAUUGUUAAUGACUUCCAUAGGGUUUUUCUCUUAAUUAAAUCUACUUGCAAAUACUAAGUAAAAAUAAAUGCCAUUUCAGUCUAUUUUCCUCCUUUUGAAAACUUUCCUCUCAAUUGUUUCAUUCUUAUUCUUACCAUGUAAACAAGUUAAAGUCUCCCUUUCAUCUUUUUUUUUUAUUUUAUUUUAGCCAGAUUGGGACUCUGAUGUGGUUGUGGCAGCAUAGAGAGAAAGGAAAAAUGGUUUAGGGGUUGGGUAAUCAGCAAUCCAACAGAAACACAUAGGAAUCAUGAGCAAUUUAAAUAAAUAUACUACCCCGGUGGGCAGGUAGCCAGAAAGCUAAAUCGGGAGACAAAGAACUUGA
Molecule: long non-coding RNA, 1084 nt
Filed under: Marmota monax (woodchuck)
Lineage: Eukaryota; Metazoa; Chordata; Mammalia; Rodentia; Sciuridae
Source: RNAcentral